This 188-nucleotide non-coding RNA is filed under the name uncultured Gabonibacter sp. The record is from RNAcentral. Lineage: Bacteria; Pseudomonadati; Bacteroidota; Bacteroidia; Bacteroidales; Porphyromonadaceae.
UUUGGUGUUGUGUUACAAUAUCUGUUAACACACAAGAGGGAAGCCGGUUAGAAUCCGGAACAGUGCCCGCUACUGUGAUGCCCGGUUCUUCAAAAGAAGAAUCAAAGAAUAGAUUCUUACACCACUGUCUAACCACGGACGGGAAGGUAUCAUUCUUAGGCGUAGUCAGGAGACCUGCCAAGACAUAU